CGGGGGAUAACUAUUGGAAACGAUAGCUAAUACCGCAUAACAAUGGGUGACACAUGUCAUUUAUUUGAAAGGGGCAAUUGCUCCACUACAAGAUGGACCUGCGUUGUAUUAGCUAGUAGGUGAGGUAACGGCUCACCUAGGCGACGAUACAUAGCCGACCUGAGAGGGUGAUCGGCCACACUGGGACUGAGACACGGCCCAGACUCCUACGGGAGGCAGCAGUAGGGAAUCUUCGGCAAUGGGGGCAACCCUGACCGAGCAACGCCGCGUGAGUGAAGAAGGUUUUCGGAUCGUAAAGCUCUGUUGUAAGUCAAGAACGAGUGUGAGAGUGGAAAGUUCACACUGUGACGGUAGCUUACCAGAAAGGGACGGCUAACUACGUGCCAGCAGCCGCGGUAAUACGUAGGUCCCGAGCGUUGUCCGGAUUUAUUGGGCGUAAAGCGAGCGCAGGCGGUUUGAUAAGUCUGAAGUUAAAGGCUGUGGCUCAACCAUAGUUCGCUUUGGAAACUGUCAAACUUGAGUGCAGAAGGGGAGAGUGGAAUUCCAUGUGUAGCGGUGAAAUGCGUAGAUAUAUGGAGGAACACCGGUGGCGAAAGCGGCUCUCUGGUCUGUA
Molecule: ribosomal RNA, 613 nt
Filed under: uncultured Bacilli bacterium
Lineage: Bacteria; Bacillati; Bacillota; Bacilli
Description: bacterial SSU rRNA
Rfam family: Bacterial small subunit ribosomal RNA
Source: RNAcentral